RNAcentral lists this long non-coding RNA (7599 nucleotides) under Vitis vinifera (wine grape). Its description in RNAcentral is "long non-coding RNA (VVIN_LNC003561)". The record is from RNAcentral. Lineage: Eukaryota; Viridiplantae; Streptophyta; Magnoliopsida; Vitales; Vitaceae.
AUCUUGGUGUUAUUCGUCGUAAUGAUGUUAGUCUCUUUCAACUCUUUUUUCUUUUUAUCUUUCUUUAUCCAUGAUCUCAGAAGUAUAGCCUGAAAUCAAACACCAUAAGUGGCCACCCCCAUGUGAAUUAAAGGUAAGGUGCUAGGAAAUAUUGUUCAAAUUGGCACAUAGAAACCAAGUAAAACGCAAAUAUUCAUCAAAAUUGACCAUCUUUAUGUGGAUUAAAGUUGAUGAUGGUAGGAAAUAUUAUAGAGAAACCUAGCGAUUUCGGGGGUUUUCUUCCUGUCCUCAUCACAUGAUAUUUAAUUCAAUCUUACAUUCUAGAUCAUUGACCAUUUUCAAUACAUUUGGCUACCCAUCACAUUUCUAUGCAUAAAACAGUAGAAUAUUUGGAAUAAGACCCAGUUAGAGGUCAAUUGGGGUCUCUACUUUCAAGGGAGACAAUUAUUUUAGAAACUCUCCAGAAAUGUGAUUGAUAUUUAUUAUGUACGAAAAUAUUUUAUUUCAACAACUCCAUAGUUUAUACAUAUGUUUUGUGUUUCUUCUGCUUCAGAAUAUUUUUAAGUGUAUAAGGUUUUGACUAUUCUAACACGAGCUUGAUCAAUUGAAAAUUUUUGCUACAGCCCUUUAGUUUGUUCAAAUAAAAAGAGAGAAAAAUUAAGCCAUGCCCAACAUGUGCCUUAUCAUGGAAUCAAUUGUAACUAUAAGUACUAUGAAUUAUUAUGAUUCCUUGUGCCAAAUUAAGAAUAGUUCUAGAUGUUAAUGGUGGACAGACUCAAAUUUUUCUAAAAGAAACGAAGACCAAUCAUUCAUGUAUAUAACCAGGUCAAGUCAAAUGGAGUCAAAAACUAAGAUGGGAAAAGAAAAAACAAAAAAGCCAACUAGGUUUUAUAGUUCCUAUGUUUCAUAUGUUUUAAUAUCUUACUAAAGGACGUUUUUAGGGCUUGAAAAAAUAAUGAAUUGCAUCGUGAGAAGUAUUUAUUGCAUUAAUAUAUGUUUUUGCUUCACGAAACUUUAUUAUAUGCAUUUAAAUAAUCAAACCUUUGAGUCAAAUAUUCAAAUUUUUUUAUAUGAAUGCAAAAUUCCAUAUAUAUAGAACAUUAAGAGGCAUGUUUGACAACUGAUUUUGAGAACAGUUUUAUAUUCUUCAAAACAAAAAAUUAUGAAAACAAGUUUGACAACCAAAAAUUAUUUUCUAUUUUUUAUUUUUAAGAAUAGAAAAUAUGGUCUUUUCAAAUAAUAUAUUUUAGUUAUUUUUAUUGUUUUGACUCUUUUUUUAUUUAAAAAAAUAAUUAUACAAACACGUACAAUGAUUAAAAAUAAAAUAUUUGACAUAAAAAUUAUUAUUAAAACAUAUUUUAAAAUAUUAAAAAUAAAUUAAAAAUAUUUUAGGUUUUCAAACAAACUUUUAAUUUAUAAAACAUUAUAUAACAGUUUUUAAAAACUGUUUUUAAAAAUAAUUACCAAAUUAACCUUUAGUUAUUCUAAAAUAACAUUUUUAAAAAAAUCUAUAGGGUACAUUUGGCAAUAUGACAUUAACAUGUAACUUUGACAUCCCCAAAUUACCUUAUUCAUAAUAGCAAUUUGUUGACCUUUGUAAUAUAUAUUUGAUUUAUUAUGAAUUUGGAUAAGAUUUAAUUUGCACUGGAAUUAAUUAAUGUUUUAAUCCACAGGUACCUUCCUCCUUAUACUUCUUUCCUACCCACAAAAGGUGAUGAACAGUCUUCAGAAAUAUGCAAUGGAGGGAGGAAGAGAAGAAGGGGAAAGAUUGUGGAGAAUUUAAUAUUCUCACAACUAUCGUACCUGGCCAUCUUCAUCAUCCUUAUCUGCAUAACGGAGAGGAGAAAGAUGAAAGAUGAUCCUCUCAACUUCACAGUGUUAAAUAUUGUGAUAGAAGUAAUCAGGUAAUUAGGCUUUAUUAUUCCUUUCCUUUUUUCUUUUUCCGAGAUUAAUAGUUGGGUAGAGUAUGUAAUUUUUCAUUUCUUGAACAUUUAUGAAUGUAAUGCAUCUAAUAUUGUUUACAUGGUAUAUGAAAUCACAUGAUUAUACUUAUUAAUAUUUCACAAAAGUAGUGAAAAAUGAUGUGUGAGUAUUAGAACUCAUUAAAAAGCCACAUAUAUAGCCAAGGUGUUUCUUCAGAAGCAUGAGGUUAUCAUGGGAGAGUGGCCUAUAUCUAUCCACUCCACUAAUUUGUGGUUCAUGUAUCAUCUUCAUUAUAUCAAUUCCAACAACAUCAAUCAUUGCUUAAGGGUGCAUAAUCUAUGGAAAUCCAUCUCUCAAUGUCCAACUUUUGGAUAUGAUUUCAAUUUUCACCUAGCUGAGAGAACACAUGCAUUGAUCUCGAACAUAUGUCAGGACAAACAAUGUUGGGAACCCCACCAAGGGAGCUUGCAAGACCAGUACUUGUCUUCUUUGAAGAGAAUCCAAUUCCUAGUGUUUAAGGUUUUUGGGUUUUAUUCACUACAAAAGCCUUAUGUAUGAUUAUGACUCAAGUAUGUAAAUAUUCCUGUUAUCCACCACCUAAAAAACAAAGCAAUUUCUCCUUGUUUGCCCUGCAUUUGCGUUUGAAUCUAUAUAUACUUACAUGUUGCAAAUGAUUUGCAGUGCCUAUGGAAAUGUUGGGUUUACAGCAGGCUACAGUUGUGAACGGUUGUUGAAACCUGAUAGUAGCUGCCAAAGUAAAUGGUUUGGAUUCUCGGGAAAAUGGAGUGACGAGGGGAAAAUAAUUCUCAUUUUUGUCAUGUUUUUUGGAAGACUAAAGAAGUUUAAUAUGGAUGGAGGUAGAGCAUGGAAGCUCUUGUAAGUUGUAACCAAGAGGCAAAGUCUGAAGGCUAUAUUGAUCUCAUGUAGGAUAUGAAAUGUAAAUCCUUAGCUAUCUACAAUACAUAAAAAGUUGACAGUUGCUUAAUUUUAAUUGAGGAAUUAAUGAGUACUGAUAGGGAUGAAGAAAAGAGAGAUUAAUCGGUCUCGGAGGUAAGCACAAUCUCCUUGUGUUCUUCAAUAGGUAAUUGAACUCCACUCUCUUCACAAAUUUCCCCAAAAUCCAUUUUGAAACAAUCUCCUUUUUUAGAAGAAUCUGAGGCAAACUAAAUUACGUACCAGGCCUAAGAGAUUCCUGAGACCAUUAUUUUUUUCAUUUGUUGGGCCAUGAUGACUAAAAAUAGUGAACAUGUUGAGACCGUUUUUAUAGUAUAUAAUGUAUUGAUCAUGAAACAAUGGCUAUAAAACACUGAUAAAAAAUUGCACAAACUAAACUGAACCGAAAAGAAAUUAAAAGGAAUAGAGGAACUCAUCAAAGAAGCACAAGAGGAUAGGUCUAUAUACGCUCACAAUCAACCGACUAUGGCUAAAGGCUAAAAGACUGUGACCAUAGGUUAUUGUUGCAGAAAAAAAAGACUCUGACGAAGCGUGAUCAUAGAUGGUGCUGAUAAAGCCUAUGAUCAUGAACAAAAGCAAUCCCAUAACCAUAGGUCUAUGGCUAGGGAGAACUAAGUUCCACAACUUAAAAGGUUGCGCUCAUGGCUAUAGGAUUCUCUUGGCCACGACCAAAAGUGGCUCAACAUGUAGACAUUUGGUCAUAUAAUAAUGGAUUUCUUUUGGCUCGUCCAUAGUUGCAUUUUGCAUUGCUCUAUUUCCUCCUAUGACUAUGCUUUGUUCUUUUUUAAAAAAAAAAAAAUUAUUGUAAAUUUAAAAUUGAACUAUUAUGAUGAUUGAUGACUAUGAUUUAUAUAUUAGACUACACUAUUACACUAGACAAUGAUACAAUGUGCAGACUUUAUUCAUUCAUAAAUCAAAGUUACUUUUGGUUUAGGAAUACAAGUAGUAAAAAUUCAAUAUCUGUCUUUAAUGAUGCACCUAUUAUAUAGUAUUUGAAUCAGGGAGGAAGGGAUUUUGGGGAGAAGUUUCAGUUUUCAUCUUUUGGUGAAUCCUUUGGCGAGAAAAGAAAUAAACAGAGAGAGGAGUUUUAGGCAUUGGAAGGAGAGCACCAUCUCCAUCCUUAGAAGGGAGCAGAGUUUACCACCGACAGAGAGGACUUUGGGCAUUUUUUUUAGGAGAGGCAAAUAGGAGCCUAGGGAAUUUUCUUACUUGAUUUUUUUUUUUUUUUUUUUUUUUUUUUUGGAGAAAAGCACUUCUAGGUACGUUUGCUAAACCACACAUGUGUUGCAAUCAAUUUUCUUUGGGUUGUUGUACCAUAUUGUAACAGAUUCAUGUUCUUCCAUUUUCACAUUAUUCUGAUAUGUUUCUUGUAGUAUCAUUUUGAUGAUUGGCUAUGGACAUUAUAAAUCAUGUAUGUUUUUAUGGAAUUCUAGACCAUCUAUAUGUAUUUUCUGUUUGGUUAUUCUGUUUCUAUGGAAUAUGAAAUUAUACUUUAUUUCUUUGGCUUCGUUGUGGUGUUCUCUACAAGACUUAUGUAAUCAUAUUUUUUAUUCAUAUAAAAAAAUAUUGAUGAGAAAGAGGGUUGUAGAGAGAAAAAUGGUUUUCUAUUAUGUUUUCACGGUUUUCUCUAUUCAGAAUAGAGAUAUUUAUACAUCUUCUAGUCACGCUUUUUGUGAGUGUUGCUUAUAUUUAAAAAAUAUAAAAUGUGAUUACAUUGAGAGAAGGAACAUGUCACCACCCUCAAUACAUUGUCUUUUUACUUCCCCUCAAGCUGAGUGUGGCUGGUGAAACAACGCUAAGCUUGCUCUUGAAUCGUUCAAAGAGAGUUGCUGAUAAGGGCUUUGUCAAAAUGUCGAUAACUUGAUCUAAAGAGGGAACAUGUUGAACCAGUAACUACUUAGCCAUUACUUUUUCUCUAACCAAAUACAAAUCUAGUUCCAUAUGCUUUGGUCGUGAGUGCAAUAUUGGAUUAGUUGACAAAAAAAAAAAAAGAUGGAAAAGGUGGACUGUUAAGGGAAAAAGCAUUGAAAAGGAUACAUAGAGAUGGAAUUGAAGGAGGAAUAGGUGGAUAAGCAAAAAGUAGAACAGAAACAAUUGGUUGUGUAGUAGUAGAUAAAGAAGGAGAGGAAGAGUGAAUUCCAUGAAACGAAAAAAUAGUUUCAUUGAAAGUGACAUUCUUAGAGAUAUACACUCAACCAUGGGAGACAAGACAUUUAUAGCCUUUAUGAGAUGGACUAUAACUAAGGAAUGCAUAGGGAAGAGAUCUGUCCUCAAGUUUGUGAUAAUUGUUAAGGUCGAAUGUAAAGGAAACAUUGAUAAUCAAACACCUUGAACUCAAAGUAGUUGGGUUUAAUUUUAAAAAGGACUUCCAAUGGACUUUUGUUGGCAAGAAUGGAAGUGAGAAAGCCUAUAUAUUAAUGAUGUGACUAGCAGUGGUAAAAGCUUCAUCCUAAUAUUGAAUGGGAAGGUUGGCUUGAGCAAGGAGAGUGAGACCUUUCUCAAUAGUAUCUCUAUGAUUUCUCUCUACAACCCCAUUUUGUUCAAGGGUGUGAGGACAUGAGAGUUGAUGAAUGACUCCAAAAAUUGGAAAUGGUGAAGUAAGAGAACGAAAUUCUCCACCCCAAUCUAUUCUAAGACUUUUCAAUUUGCAAUUAAAAUGAAGUUCAGCUUGUGUUUUGAAAUUAUAAAAAGCUGAAUACACUUUAGAUUUAGCUUUAAAGAAGUAAAGUCAUAUGAAUCUGUAAUAUGCAUCUAUAAAACUCACAAAAUAAUGAAAACCAUUGGAUGAGAGGGUGGGGGCAGGGCCCCAGAGACGUACAUCUGAGUUAAUAAGCAUUAAUGGAGUGUGAUAUGUAGAAUAUGAAAUUGGACAAGGUAACUUAUGGCUUUUUCCCAAUUGACAAGCUGUGCAAAAUGAAAAUUCUUAUUUCUUGAAAAUUUUCUUUUACAUUAAUCCAGAACAAUUUUGACAAUCUUAUCAACUGGAUGGCUAAGUCUUUGAUGUCAAAGACCAAUACUAGACAUGCAGAUUUGAUUACAAUGAACUAAAUUUGAAUUGGAACUGGAGCAUAAGCUAGCUGUGUAAACUCUAGAGACCGAAGGACUUGAAAACUGAGUUGGUGAAGAUGAAGCUGGAAUGUGAUGAUAACCGGGUAGACUAGUGAAAAACUGGUUUAAAGGAAAUGAGAGCUUGGGAAGAUGAAAUUGAUGAAGUCCAUCCUUAAGAAUCCCUUUGAGUACAAUGGCUCAUAUGACCAUAUCCUUUACAAAACAAAGAGAAGAAUGAAACUCAAAAUAAACAUCAUUAUCCUUGGCAAAUUGUGAAACAUUGAUGAGAUUUUUGGUGAUAUUUGGAACAUGUAAAAGAUUUCUAAGAAUGAAGGAUUUAGAAGAGUAAGGACUUGAAAAAUAUGAAUGUCCAACAUGUGAAGUAACCAAACCUGUACGACCCACAUGUAGCUUAUUAGAGCUCGGAUAAUCAGUGUCAAUGUUCAGAUUGCUGAAUUCAUUGGUGACUUGAUUUGUACACCAGAAUCUAGAAACCAAACCCCAUCAUCUUGAGUAUUAGGUGCUACAACAAUAGCUUGCAUUGCUAGAAGAUCCUGAUGUAGUAGCACCAGUAUGUGAGUGUGAAUGGUAAUCAGAGAAACCAAUGAAGAAUGGGUCAAAACAAUGGUAACAUUUGAGAAAAAUGUGACCCAUCUUCCCACAAAGUUGACACUGAGGCUUGGCACUGUUUCUGCCACCAUAUCCUUGACCUUUGGCUCCUUUACUGCCAUGAAAUUUGGUGCCCGAAUGGCCAUGAAAUGACCCCAAGUUUUGAGAUGAAUUUCCUUGAGUAGGAUGAGAGAAUUUCUUUUGUGGAUUUUGAUAGGCGACAUUAGCUGUUGGGAUGACACUGGAGGCAUGGAUAUUAUAUUGCUCAAGUUGUUUCUCAUGUGCAAACAGGCCAAUUACAUCAGUUAGUUUGUAGGCAUUCAAAUUAGAUGUAAUUUGCACAGUGAUGGAUUCAUAAUCAUGUCCUAACCCAGCAGUAAUAGCAAGAAUCUGAUCCCUUAUGGAUAGAAUAUCAUCGAUUAAGGCAAAUGAAUCCAUAAUAGUCUUCAUUUUAUUCAAAUAAUCCCUCAUAGCUAAACCACCCUUUUGUAAAUUUUGCAAUUCAGAUCUAAAUUGCAUUAUAUGUGUUCCAUUUUGAGCAGCAAAAUAUUGAGUCAAGGCAGUCCAAAUCUCAUGAGAAGUACUGGAUCCAACCAAUUAGGGAAGAAUACUUACAGAGAUUGAGCCAAAAAGCCAGGAAACGAUCAACAUAUCUUGACGUUGCCGUUAUUCAUAAUCUGGGUUGAGGAGGACCUGAGAUAAACCUUCAAUAGGAUUUAAAUUCAAACAAAAUUGAGGUGGACAAAGAAAAGUGCCUAAAGUAUGACCAUCAAGCCCUAGUCCAUGAAUUGUAGCAUAGAUCUGUUGCUUCUAUAGGAGGAAGUUAUCCUCAUCAAGCUUCAUUGCAAUUGGUUGUGUGGCUGGAUUCACAACUUGUAUCAUGGAAGAUGAUGAACCAGAGGGUCUUGAUACAGUUAUUUUACUAGACGAUGACAUUUGGGUGGAAUCAAUGGAAGAGGGGUUUGUCAUUGAAGAUGAAAUGACUCUAAUACCAUGAUGAGAAAAAGGGUUGUAAAGAGAAAAAUGGUUUUCUAUUCUGUUUUCUAGGUUUUUACUACUCAGAAC